RNAcentral lists this transfer RNA (91 nucleotides) under Weissella cibaria. RNAcentral describes it as "tRNA-Leu". It matches the Rfam family "tRNA". Rfam says of the family: Transfer RNA (tRNA) molecules are approximately 80 nucleotides in length. Lineage: Bacteria; Bacillati; Bacillota; Bacilli; Lactobacillales; Lactobacillaceae. The record is from RNAcentral.
GCGGUUGUGGCGGAAUUGGCAGACGCGCNNCGCGCAGGAUUAAGGAUCCUGUGGUAGAGAUACCGUGCGGGUUCGACCCCCGCCAAUCGCA